GCGGACGGGUGAGUAACGCGUAAGAACCUGCCCUUGGGAGGGGAACAACAGCUGGAAACGGCUGCUAAUACCCCAUAGGCUGAGGAGCAAAAGGAGGAAUCCGCCCAAGGAGGGGCUCGCGUCUGAUUAGUUAGUUGGUGAGGCAAUGGCUUACCAAGGCGACGAUCAGUAGCUGGUCCGAGAGGAUGAUCAGCCACACUGGGACUGAGACACGGCCCAGACUCCUACGGGAGGCAGCAGUGGGGAAUUUUCCGCAAUGGGCGAAAGCCUGACGGAGCAAUGCCGCGUGAAGGCAGAAGGCCCACGGGUCAUGAACUUCUUUUCUCGGAGAAGAAAAAAUGACGGUAUCUGAGGAAUAAGCAUCGGCUAACUCUGUGCCAGCAGCCGCGGUAAGACAGAG
This 400-nucleotide ribosomal RNA is filed under the name uncultured organism. RNAcentral describes it as "bacterial SSU rRNA". It matches the Rfam family "Bacterial small subunit ribosomal RNA", at positions 98 to 530 of the family's 1533-position model. The record is from RNAcentral.